Long non-coding RNA from Arabidopsis thaliana (thale cress), 410 nucleotides. RefSeq annotates it as other RNA. The transcript has a single exon. NCBI's taxonomy places the organism in Eukaryota, Viridiplantae, Streptophyta, Magnoliopsida, Brassicales, Brassicaceae. The record is from RefSeq.
GAGUGGUGAAAUUCUCUGGUUUUUAUAUUGAAUGUUUAAAAGAAGUCACAUUGAACAACAUUGAGAAAGAUCUUAAACGAAAACAACUAUCGAGAUUGGAGAAAGCUUAUUGAGAAGUGGUUCUCAAUCUUCGAAGCUGAUCAAUCCAACGAUCCUCAUUAACAUCGGAGGCCCAAUCAGGAGCCGUUCCAGGGAAUGAGAUGGCUCGCAUUGCCUCCAUAACCCUAACGGCAUUCUCCUCCACUAACGGCGAUCUUCUCCGCCGUUCGUCCUCCUCAAACGCUCUACGGAUCUCCGGUCCAGUCUCCGUCUCUGUCUCUUCUUCGCUGUCUGUGUUAUCGUUUAUACUAAUAGAAGAGAUUCCUACCUCUGCAUCCGGAAUCAUACAAUGGCCGUUAGAGAGACCAUCU